RNAcentral lists this ribosomal RNA (429 nucleotides) under Pseudomonadota bacterium. RNAcentral describes it as "Proteobacteria bacterium partial 16S ribosomal RNA". It matches the Rfam family "Bacterial small subunit ribosomal RNA", at positions 355 to 776 of the family's 1533-position model. The record is from RNAcentral. Lineage: Bacteria; Pseudomonadati; Pseudomonadota.
UGGGGAAUAUUGGACAAUGGGCGAAAGCCUGAUCCAGCCAUGCCGCGUGUGUGAAGAAGGUCUUCGGAUUGUAAAGCACUUUAAGUUGGGAGGAAGGGCAGUAAGCGAAUACCUUGCUGUUUUGACGUUACCGACAGAAUAAGCACCGGCUAACUCUGUGCCAGCAGCCGCGGUAAUACAGAGAGUGCAAGCGUUAAUCGGAAUUACUGGGCGUAAAGCGCGCGUAGGUGGUUCGUUAAGUUGAAUGUGAAAGCCCCGGGCUCAACCUGGGAACUGCAUCCAAAACUGGCGAGCUAGAGUAGGGCAGAGGGUGGUGGAAUUUCCUGUGUAGCGGUGAAAUGCGUAGAUAUAGGAAGGAACACCAGUGGCGAAGGCGACCACCUGGGCUCAUACUGACACUGAGGUGCGAAAGCGUGGGGAGCAAACAGG